GAUGAACGCUAGCGGCAGGCCUAAUACAUGCAAGUCGAGGGGUAUGGGUUGCUUGCAACCCAGAGACCGGCGCACGGGUGCGUAACGCGUAUGCAAGCUACCUUAAUCAGGGGGAUAGCCCGGAGAAAUCCGGAUUAACACCGCAUAACAUUGAGUUGUGGCAUCACAGUUCAAUCAAAUAUUUAUAGGAUUAAGAUGAGCAUGCGUGACAUUAGUUAGUUGUUGAGGUAAUGGCUGACCAAGACCACGAUGUCUAGGGGAUCUGAGAGGAUGACCCCCCACACUGGUACUGAGACACGGACCAGACUCCUACGGGCGGCAGCAGUAAGGAAUAUUGGUCAAUGGGCGCAAGCCUGAACCAGCCAUGCCGCGUGCAGGAAGACGGCCCUAUGGGUUGUAAACUGCUUUUGUACCGGAAUAAACCUUCUCUCGCGAGAGAAGCUGAACGUACGGUAAGAAUAAGGAUCGGCUAACUCCGUG
RNAcentral lists this ribosomal RNA (480 nucleotides) under uncultured bacterium. RNAcentral describes it as "partial 16S ribosomal RNA". It matches the Rfam family "Bacterial small subunit ribosomal RNA", at positions 28 to 507 of the family's 1533-position model. The record is from RNAcentral.